CGGGAUGUAGCCUAGGGGCUAAGGCACUUGCUUUGGGAGCAAGAAACCGGGGGUUCGAAUCCCCCCGUCCCGA
Molecule: non-coding RNA, 73 nt
Organism: Treponema sp. GWC1_61_84
Lineage: Bacteria; Pseudomonadati; Spirochaetota; Spirochaetia; Treponematales; Treponemataceae
Source: Rfam